RNAcentral lists this ribosomal RNA (459 nucleotides) under uncultured bacterium. Its description in RNAcentral is "partial 16S ribosomal RNA". It matches the Rfam family "Bacterial small subunit ribosomal RNA", at positions 338 to 795 of the family's 1533-position model. The record is from RNAcentral.
CCUACGGGUGGCAGCAGUGAGGAAUAUUGGUCAAUGGGCGCGAGCCUGAACCAGCCAAGUAGCGUGAAGGAUGACUGCCCUACGGGUUGUAAACUUCUUUUGUAAAGGAAUAAAGUGAGUCACGUGUGCCUUUUUGUAUGUACUUUAUGAAUAAGGAUCGGCUAACUCCGUGCCAGCAGCCGCGGUAAUACGGAGGAUCCGAGCGUUAUCCGGAUUUAUUGGGUUUAAAGGGGGCGUAGUGGGGUUUUUAAGUAAGUGGGAAAAUUUUCGGGCCACACCUAAAUAUGGCAUUUAUAAUGGAGGUCUUGAGUACAGUUGAGGUAGGCGGAAUAAGUGAAGUAGCGGUGAAAUGCAUAGAUAUAACGUAGAACUCCGAUAGCGAAGGCAGCUUACUAAACUGCGACUGACAUUGAUGCACGAGAGUGUGGGUAUCAAACAGGAUUAGAUACCCUUGUAGUC